This 74-nucleotide transfer RNA is filed under the name Acidithiobacillus thiooxidans. RNAcentral describes it as "tRNA-Gln". It matches the Rfam family "tRNA". From Rfam's summary of the family: Transfer RNA (tRNA) molecules are approximately 80 nucleotides in length. Lineage: Bacteria; Pseudomonadati; Pseudomonadota; Acidithiobacillia; Acidithiobacillales; Acidithiobacillaceae. The record is from RNAcentral. RNAcentral also lists the same sequence under 1 other name.
UGGGGGAUCAUCUAGCGGCAGGAUGUCUGGCUCUGACCCAGAAAACCGUGGUUCGAACCCACGUCCCCCAGCCA